AUCAUCAAAGCUUGCUUUGAUGGAUGGCGACCGGCGCACGGGUGAGUAACACGUAUCCCCCUUGACGACAACACUGGGAUAGCCUUUCGAAAGAAAGAUUACUUCCGGAUGGCAUAGUUUUCCCGCAUGGGAUAAUUAUUAAAGAAUUUCGGUUGUCGAUGGGGAUGCGUUCCAUUAGGCAGUUGGCGGGGUAACGGCCCACCAAACCUACGAUGGAUAGGGGUUCUGAGAGGAAGGUCCCCCACAUUGGAACUGAGACACGGUCCAAACUCCUACGGGAGGCAGCAGUGAGGAAUAUUGGUCAAUGGACGAGAGUCUGAACCAGCCAAGUAGCGUGAAGGAUGACUGCCCUAUGGGUUGUAAACUUCUUUUAUACGGGAAUAAAGUGAGUCACGUGUGGCUUUUUGUAUGUACCGUAUGAAUAAGGAUCGGCUAACUCCGUGCCAGCAGCCGCGGUAAUACGGAGGAUCCGAGCGUUAUCCGGAUUUAUUGGGUUUAAAGGGAGCGUAGGCGGGUUGUUAAGUCAGUUGUGAAAGUUUGCGGCUCAACCGUAAAAUUGCAGUUGAUACUGGCGACCUUGAGUGCAACAGAGGUAGGCGGAAUUCGUGGUGUAGCGGUGAAAUGCUUAGAUAUCACGAAGAACUCCGAUUG
RNAcentral lists this ribosomal RNA (651 nucleotides) under uncultured Bacteroides sp. Its description in RNAcentral is "bacterial SSU rRNA". It matches the Rfam family "Bacterial small subunit ribosomal RNA", at positions 69 to 715 of the family's 1533-position model. Lineage: Bacteria; Pseudomonadati; Bacteroidota; Bacteroidia; Bacteroidales; Bacteroidaceae. The record is from RNAcentral.